GGAACUUAUUGUGUCUUUGGAAAUCCAAUCAAUUCCUGGUCAUGGUCAUGUAGGCUGUAAUAGCUUGAUUAUGCUUUAAAUUGAUUUCUUCAUCAACUGGCAACAGGAAUCAACCAACUUCUUUUACUAAUGAGUUAAAAUGUUAAAAGAGAAUGGGAAUAUAGUGUUAAAAGUCAUAUAUAUUAUUCAAAUGUGUUCCCUUUUUUCUCAUUUAUAUUAUGCAUAUUUCAAAUUACGGAAGUCUACAAUAUAAAAUCAUUUUUAAAUAAUCGAUGAUAUCUAGUUUUUGAAGCAUUUUUAUGACAUUGCUCUUUUGCUGAGAAGCAUUAUUAUUAUUGUUAUCAUCUUGGAAUCAUAGGUACAAAACCUUGGGAUUUCAUUUAUAGUUCUUUUUGACUCUCCAUUGGAAUUUCAUGCAUAGCUUCUUAGUUCUAUUUUCCUUCUAUUUUAACAUGUUC
This 458-nucleotide unclassified non-coding RNA is filed under the name Hevea brasiliensis (rubber tree). The record is from RNAcentral. Lineage: Eukaryota; Viridiplantae; Streptophyta; Magnoliopsida; Malpighiales; Euphorbiaceae.